CCUACGGUGGGCAGCAGUGGGGAAUAUUGGACAAUGGGCGAAAGCCUGAUCCAGCCAUGCCGCGUGUGUGAAGAAGGCCUUCGGGUUGUAAAGCACUGUCAGUGGGGAAGAAAGCCUUGGGGCUAAUACCCUCGAGGAAGGACAUCACCCACAGAAGAAGCACCGGCUAACUCCGUGCCAGCAGCCGCGGUAAUACGGAGGGUGCGAGCGUUAAUCGGAAUUACUUGGCGUAAAGCGCGCGUAGGCGGUCUGAUAAGCCGGUUGUGAAAGCCCCGGGCUCAACCUGGGAACGGCAUCCGGAACUGUCAGGCUAGAGUGCAGGAGAGGAAGGUAGAAUUCACGGUGUAGGGGUGAAAGGCGUAGAGAUCGGGAGGAAUACCAGUGGCGAAGGCGGCCUUCUGGACUGACACUGACGCUGAGGUGCGAAAGCGUGGGUAGCAAACAGGAUUAGAUACCCGGUAGUC
Molecule: ribosomal RNA, 464 nt
Filed under: Vreelandella stevensii
Lineage: Bacteria; Pseudomonadati; Pseudomonadota; Gammaproteobacteria; Oceanospirillales; Halomonadaceae
Description: partial 16S ribosomal RNA
Rfam family: Bacterial small subunit ribosomal RNA
Source: RNAcentral